This 460-nucleotide ribosomal RNA is filed under the name uncultured bacterium. RNAcentral's name for it is "partial 16S ribosomal RNA". It matches the Rfam family "Bacterial small subunit ribosomal RNA", at positions 338 to 795 of the family's 1533-position model. The record is from RNAcentral.
CCUACGGGUGGCAGCAGUGAGGAAUAUUUGUCAAUGGGCGCGAGCCUGAACCAGCCAAGUAGCGUGAAGGAUGACUGCCCUACGGGUUGUAAACUUCUUUUAUAAUGGAAUAAAGUGCAGCACGUGUGCCUUUUUGUAUGUACCUUAUGAAUAAGGAUCGGCUAACUCCGUGCCAGCAGCCGCGGUAAUACGGCGGAUCCGAGCGUUAUCCGGAUUUAUUGGGUUUAAAGGGAGCGUAGGUGGGUUGUUAAGUCUGUUGUGAAAGUUUGCGGCUCAACCGUAAAAUUGCAGUUGAUACUGGCAGCCUUGAGUACAGUUGAGGUAGGCGGAAUUCGUGGUGUAGCGGUGAAAUGCUUAGAUAUCACGAAGAACUCCGAUUGCGAAGGCAGCUUACUAAACUGCAACUGACAUUGAUGCUCGAAAGUGUGGGUAUCAAACAGGAUUAGAUACCCGGGUAGUC